ACCCAUUACUUUAGCCCAAAUUAACCCAUUCAUUAUCCCCAGAAGCAAACUUCUCAAACCCCCAUUUUGGUUUAUUAACCUCAAAACCCAGAGUUAAAAAUCUUCAAACCCAAAAUUUCAAUUACAACAAUUUCUCCACUUCUCCUCCAGCAAACUUCUCCAUUACAGAAUAAAGCGGUGUGAAGACAAAAAAAUUUGGAUCAACAUUGAAUAAAUUGUGGCAGAGAAAGAAAAAGGAAAAAAAGAAAGGAGAAAGGAAUGGGGGACAAGAGGGGAGACACUACUAAUAGUUUGUGUAGACAAACUAAAGACAAAAGGAAAAGAGCAGCAAAGGAAACAAGUGAAAAACGCGCAAAUUUGGACGAGAAAAAUUUGUUCGCUGGAAAACUUCCUGGGUGCACCGCCUGGGGCGUCGCCGAGGGCGGGGCGCCAGGCUUAUUUUCGACUGCGUUUCCCGAUUCGAAUUGAAUUUGGUUUUUAAAAGUCCAGAUCUUUUGAUACUCUAUAAAUACAUAUUCUAUACGAUUUUUACAUAACUUGGGAUAGCUUAAAACCCUUAGUUCAUAACUUUGGACCUAGAGAGAGCUUGGAGCCGCCGUAGAGGCCGUAUUUACAGGGUUUUACCUUCUCUUCUCUGUAAUACUUAUUUUGAUAUUUUUAUUCGGAUGAUUUGUUGUUUUUCCUCCAUGUCUAUGUGGAGCUAAACACUUUAGUUCUAAGGCUUUGACACAAACAUGAAAGUUGACGUUUGAUUAUCGUUUCUAUCUAUUGAUUUUCCA
This is a long non-coding RNA of Lycium barbarum (goji berry), 779 nucleotides long. RefSeq lists it as uncharacterized. The record is from RefSeq and is a predicted model, not a curated record. The transcript has 2 exons. NCBI's taxonomy places the organism in Eukaryota, Viridiplantae, Streptophyta, Magnoliopsida, Solanales, Solanaceae.